UAUUUAAGCCCUGAUGUGGAUGUUGCUGU
Molecule: non-coding RNA, 29 nt
Filed under: Rattus norvegicus (Norway rat)
Lineage: Eukaryota; Metazoa; Chordata; Mammalia; Rodentia; Muridae
Source: RNAcentral